RNA transcript from Phyllostomus discolor (pale spear-nosed bat), 1120 nucleotides. It is a transcript of the gene named claudin domain containing 2, with no coding region annotated. Lineage: Eukaryota; Metazoa; Chordata; Mammalia; Chiroptera; Phyllostomidae. The record is from RefSeq and is a predicted model, not a curated record. The transcript has 2 exons.
CCCGGCAUGGGGGUGAAGCGGAGCCUUCAGAGCGGUGGCACCCUACUGGGUUUCUUGGCCAACAUCUUCAUGCUUCUCUCCACUGCCACCAACUACUGGAUCCGCUUCCCAGGGGGACACAGCGGCCUGUGGCAGGAUUGUAACGGUGGCAUCUGCUCUAACAACCCCUGCCAGAGUGAGGCCCAGCCCAACCAGAUGUCAAACCCCCACUACACAGACCCAGAACUGACCACAGCUGUCCACCCUCCCCUGACACAACUGGGAACAUCCUGCGGGGGAGGGGGGGGGGAGGGGGCGUUCAAUCCCUUCCACGACGGUCUCAGAUCCAGCUGCCCCUCCGUGAUCGAAGCCACCACGAACACGACAAGCCCUCAGGACGACUUUCAAGUCCCUAUCCAAACCCCUGACUCUGCGGCCAGCCGGUACCGGCUGGUGGGGGCGGUGGUCAGGCAGGGCGUCUGCGCGGGGCUGAGGCAGCCGGCUCUCCCCAGCCAUGCUGGCGGUGACCCGGGCAUGCAUGGUGCUGGCGGCGGGCUCCAGCAUCGUGGGCCUGGUGAUGGGGCUGCGGAUUGUGUGUCACGAGGGCGACUCUCGGGGCCGGACUACGAGCGCUAUCUUCUUCCUCUGCGGUGAGACACCAGCAAGCCUCGGGACAAAGGGCAGGGGUCCGCAGGAAGUGAGCUGAGGGGAGGAGGUGGUGACCAAGAAGGGUGGGCGGAGCUGGAAGGGGAGGGGUCAAGGGCGGGCCCGCAGGCGAUGGGCGUGGUCUUGUCUGGCGGGGGCCGCCCGGAAGGGGCGUGGUCUGGGCGGGGAGCGGGGUUCUGGGUGGGGCCUAGGUGCAGCCUCUCCCGGCCAUGCUUACCUAGCGGGUGGGCGGGGCCAGGCUUGCUGCUGCUGAUUGCUUUGACAGGCUACACCGUAAAGAAUGCGUGGAAAAGCGACGUCUUCUUCUCCUGGUCCUAUUUUUUGGGGUGGCUGGCUUUACCAUUCUGUAUUCUCGCCGGCUUCUGCUUCCUGAUGGCGGACAUGAUCGUGCAGAGUACAGAUGCCAUCGGUGGGUUUCCCGUGUGCUUGUGACAGCAGCCUGCCUGGGGCAGAAUAAAGGAACAGGUCGACCUCC